Manihot esculenta (cassava) is the source of this 3658-nucleotide RNA transcript. It is a transcript of the gene named pentatricopeptide repeat-containing protein At1g63330, with no coding region annotated. The transcript has 3 exons. NCBI's taxonomy places the organism in Eukaryota, Viridiplantae, Streptophyta, Magnoliopsida, Malpighiales, Euphorbiaceae. The record is from RefSeq and is a predicted model, not a curated record.
UCCGGAUUCUCUAUUUCCUUUCCUCAUUCCCAAUCUUCGAUCCUUCCCUAAAAACAACUGACGAGAGAUCGAUGAUGAUGAAGAUGCCUUGGAGGAGGAAGAGCAGGAGCUUCCAUCUUCAGCUACAAGGGGCAAUUGGUACCAUUCAAUCUCCAUUCCUAUUCUUAUUUACCAAUUAUUGCCAUUCUUCUACUUCCACACUUGAAGAUGCACGCUUCUUCACAAAUAACUUCAAAUCUGCUUCUUUUACCCGCCUUCAUGAUGCCAUUGCUUCCUUUAAUCAUGUAAUUCAUAUGCAUCCUCUGCCUUCUAGGGCUCAAUUUAGUAGAUUCUUAUCUGCCCUUGUGAAAAUGAAACAAUAUCACACUGUCUUUUCCAUGUCCAAAACAAUUGAAUUGCUAGGAAUCUCCCACGAUGUUUAUUCUCUUAGCAUCUUAAUUAAUUGCUUCUGCCACUUACACCUUGUGGAUUUUGGCUUCUCUGUUUUUGGUAAGAUGCUCAAAUUCGGAUUGGAGCCUACCACUGUGACAUUUAAUACCUUAAUUAAUGGGCUUUGUAUGGAGGGUAAAAUCGAUAAAGCAGUGGAAUUUUUCGAUGAUAUGGUUGCACGUGGUUAUCAACCUGAUGUUCGUACUUUCACUGUGAUAGUAAACGGAAUGUGUAAAUUUGGGAAUACAAAUGUGGCUAUUGGGCUACUAAAGGGAAUGGCUGAUAGAGGUUGUGAGCCAAAUGUUGUGACAUACAAUGCAAUCAUUGACGCCCUUUGCAAGGAUAAGCUAGUUGGUGAGGCUUUAGAGCUCUUCGCUCAAAUGAGGAAUAAGGGCAUUUCACCUAAUGUCAUCACUUACACUGGUUUAAUUCAAGGUGUUUGCAAAUUAUGCCAAAAGAACCAAGCUUUGGCCUUGAUGAAUGAAAUGGUGGAGCAAAACAUAUUACCAGAUGUUUAUACCUUCAAUGUAUUGAUUGACGCUCUUUGUAAGGAUGGAAUGGUUGCAGAGGCUCAAAAUACAUUCAAUGUAAUGAUUCAAAGAGGUGUAGAGCCUGAUGUGGUCACCUACAAUUCCUUAAUUGAUGGUCUUUGCAUUUCAGACCAUUUCAAGGAAGCUUUGGCCUUGUUGAAAGAAAUGGUGGGGAGGAACAUAUCCCCUAAUGUUUUUACCUUCAGUAUAUUGAUCGACACUCUUUGUAAGAAAGGACUUGUUUCAAAUGCACAAAAUAUAUUCAAAAUAAUGAUUCAAAGAGGUGUGGAACCUGAUGUUGUCACUUAUAAUUCAUUGAUGGAUGGAUAUUGUCUGUGCAAGCAAAUUGAUAAGGCUAGAAAGCUAUUUGAUCUGAUGGUGACCAAUGAAAUAGCUAGCAUUUUUAGCUACAACAUUUUGAUCAAUGGAUAUUGUAAGUGCAAAAUGAUAGGUGAUGCAAAGGAGAUUUUUGAUGAAAUGUUUCAUAAAGGUUUAGUUCCUAAUGCUGUUACUUAUCAUACUCUUAUAAAGGCUAUGUUUCAAGCAGGGAGGCCCCAAACUGCAAAAGAGCUCUUUGAGGAUAUGUGCUCUCAUGGUCAACAGCCAAAUAUAGUAACCUUCUCAAUUAUGAUUGAUGGCUUGUGUAGACAGGGGAACCUCGAUGAGGCACUCACCCUAUUGAAAGCAAUGGAGAAAAGUCAGUUGAAGCCUAAUUUUGUGAUCUAUAGCAGUCUGAUCAAUGGUAUGUGCAAAGUUGGGAAGAUUAAUGAUGCCAAGGAACUUUUUUCUAGUCUUUUUGAAAUUGGUUUACAACCUGAUGUUCUUGUAUAUAAUGCAAUUAUGAAAGGACUUUGCCAACAAGGAUUAAUGGAUGAAGCGUAUAAGGUAUUUAAAGACAUGGAAAAGGUAGGAUGUUUACCAAAUAAUUGUUGUUAUAAUAUCAUCAUUAAAGGGUUUCUGAGGCAUGAGGAUUUACCAAAAGCAUCAGAACUAAUCAACGAAAUGGUUGAUAAGGGGUUCUCUGCUGAUGAUGCUACCACAGAAUUGGUAGUACACUUAUCGCGGAAUAAUAAUCUCAUUCUGAGGCUUUUAAAGGUGUGCAAUGAGGGAUCAACAAACUAAAGUUGUUAUAUCUUGACCAUUCAAGUGUAUCUUGGAGCGCAACUUGGUAAUUACCUUUUUCAAAUAUAAUAGAUAUGUAAUUUAACUUUCUUCAAAUAUCAUUUUUAAUUUCAAUCAGCUGUGUUUCUCUUCAACAAAACGAAAAUUUCUAACACUGCAAAUUACCUGUGGUGGAAACCAUGAUAUGUGUGUGCCUUUCGCUUGAAUUCAGACAUGGACUAGAUCUCUUUGAUAUAAGAUUGUUGAUGAAUGGAGGUCAUGGAUUUCUAAUCAUCAAGUUGUUGGUACUUGCAAGGAUAUGACUACAACUUCACCCUUCUAACCAUAAAGGUAUAAGCAAUUCACCACUGUGCUUUAAUUGAGAAUUGAUUUAACAAUUAUACUACACUAUAAAUGCAGAGUGUAGGAUAUACAGUCCCAGAAUAGAAGAGAAUCACUUGACUUCUACAGCUGUUGGUUGGAUGAAAUGUCACUAAAAUUAUAGACAACAGAAAAUGUUAUGGGAAUUGAGUUAUUUUAGUGUUAAUGGAUAUAUUUUAGUGUUGGACCAUCAUUUGAGUUAUCUAUAUGGUGCAUUUUGCGAUACAUUUGUGUGGUGUUAUGAAUGUGAAACACAUUGUUUCUUACUGUUUGAGAUGUUAGUUAAGUUAGGCAAGAAAAGUUAUUUUGGUUGUUUCUUUUCUCCUUUCAGCAGUAUAUAAUGAGACAUUUUAUGUUUUUACCACUUUCUUAACCUUGUAAUAUACUUUUUCUUUUUGCUUGAUGCAUCUUUCUUGAAGUUUUUGUGAUUCUGCAUCCAUGGGAAAUGAUUCGUUAGAGAAGAUGGGUUUGACAGUGUACAUAUUGAGAGGUAGGAAACCGAUUGCAAAAUGAUUCAGAACCCAAGAAUCUAUAUCAGUUGUUGUUUACUUUACAAAAUUGAAAAAACAUUAGAUCUUUCUUGUGGUGCAGUAUUGUCAAUACAAAGAAAUUUCAUUUGAUUAAAUGGAAUACUGUUGUUGCAUUUCUUCCCUUCGGAAAGACAUUCGAAAUGCGGCUAUUAAAUUUAGAUCUUUCUUCUCUCCUUUUAAUCAUAUCAGAUUUGCUGUGGGAAAUGAGAUGAAAAUAAAAUCUUGGAAUGAUAGACGAUCGGUUGGUAAUGUUGCUCUCAAAUUCUCCUUUAGCAGGCAGACUAUUAAAAUUUAACAGCUAACCUAGAUGUGUUGAUGUUAAAUAUUUUUUAAAAAGGUAGUUUUAGAAAAAAAUAAAAUCAAUUUUGUAAACAUUUCCAUAUAAAUUUAAUUAAAAAAUAAAUAUUUACUUUUUUUUUUAACUGUCAUGCGCCGUUAUUAUUUAUAAGUACUAAUAAUUACAUUGUAAAAUUUAUAUGGUGCAUUUUGCGAUACAUUUGUGUGGUGUUAUGAAUGUGAAAUGCAUUGUUUCUUACUGUUUGAGAUGUUAGGUAAGUUAGGCAAGAAAAGUUGUUUUGGUUGUUUCUUUUCUCCUUUCAGCAGUAUAUAAUGAGACAUCUUAUGUUUUUACCACUUUCUAAACCUUGUAAUAUACUCAAUAAAAUUUUCUUUGGGCUCUUGUUUGUA